This 776-nucleotide ribosomal RNA is filed under the name uncultured Neocallimastigales. RNAcentral's name for it is "partial large subunit ribosomal RNA". It matches the Rfam family "Eukaryotic large subunit ribosomal RNA", at positions 26 to 637 of the family's 3401-position model. Lineage: Eukaryota; Fungi; Neocallimastigomycota; Neocallimastigomycetes; Neocallimastigales. The record is from RNAcentral.
CGCAUCUGUGCAUGCAGCAUAUCAAUAAGCGGAGGAAAAGAAACUAACGAGGAUUCCCCUAGUAACGGCGAGUGAAGCGGGAAGAGCUCAAAUUUGAAAUCUUAAAGGGUUUCCCUUUACGAAUUGUAGUUUAAAGAAGUGUUUUCUGUUGAGGUUUUGGUAAAAGUUCUUUGGAAUAGGGACAUCAUAGAGGGUGAGAAUCCCGUAUUUGACCUUUACUUUCAACUUUGUGAUACACUUUCAAAGAGUCGGAUUGUUUGGGAAUGCAGUCCAAAAUGGGUGGUAAAUUUCAUCUAAAGCUAAAUAUUGGCGAGAGACCGAUAGCGAACAAGUACCGUGAGGGAAAGAUGAAAAGAACUUUGAAAAGAGAGUUAAACAGUACGUGAAAUUGUCAAAAGGGAAGCGUUUGACACCAGUGUUGUUUUUCUGAAAAUCAAUUAAAGAACUGUUUAUGCUAAGCUGUUUAGACUUUAUCAGCUAACUGUUUAGUUUUGAGCUUUUCUUUAAUGCACUUCUCAGUUAACAAGUCAACAUCAAUUUCUUUUGCUGUAAAAAAGGCUUGAGGAAGGUGGCUUGAGAUUCGUCUUAAGCGUUUAUAGCCUCUUGCCUAUGCAGUCGGAGAGAUUGAGGUCUGCAGCGUAGAUCCUUCGGGGCUAAAUGCAUUUGUGCUAAGUUAUAGCAUUUUAUAGACAACUUGUUGACUAUGAUUUGUCUUGUAGCUUACUCGCUUAUGUUAUUUUACCUACGCUUAGGAUGUUGACAGCAGUAUAGACUGU